UACGGAGGGUGCAAGCGUUGUUCGGAAUUAUUGGGCGUAAAGCGCGUGUAGGCGGCUAUUUAAGUCUGAUGUGAAAGCCCGGGGCUCAACCUCGGAAGUGCAUUGGAAACUGGUUGGCUAGAGUGCAGGAGAGGGUAGUGGAAUUCCAUGUGUAGCGGUAAAAUGCGUAGAUAUAUGGAGGAACACCGGUGGCGAAGGCGGCUACCUGGACCGAUACUGACGCUGAGACGCGAAAGCGUGGGGAGCAAAC
Molecule: ribosomal RNA, 250 nt
Filed under: uncultured bacterium
Lineage: Bacteria
Also listed under: 1 other name
Description: partial 16S ribosomal RNA
Rfam family: Bacterial small subunit ribosomal RNA
Source: RNAcentral